Molecule: ribosomal RNA, 311 nt
Filed under: uncultured Vibrio sp.
Lineage: Bacteria; Pseudomonadati; Pseudomonadota; Gammaproteobacteria; Vibrionales; Vibrionaceae
Description: bacterial SSU rRNA
Rfam family: Bacterial small subunit ribosomal RNA
Source: RNAcentral
ACGCUGGCGGCAGGCCUAACACAUGCAAGUCGAGCGGAAACGAGUUAACUGAACCUUCGGGGGACGUUAACGGCGUCGAGCGGCGGACGGGUGAGUAAUGCCUAGGAAAUUGCCCUGAUGUGGGGGAUAACCAUUGGAAACGAUGGCUAAUACCGCAUGAUGCCUACGGGCCAAAGAGGGGGACCUUCGGGCCUCUCGCGUCAGGAUAUGCCUAGGUGGGAUUAGCUAGUUGGUGAGGUAAGGGCUCACCAAGGCGACGAUCCCUAGCUGGUCUGAGAGGAUGAUCAGCCGGGUGAAGUCGUAACAAGGAA